This 497-nucleotide ribosomal RNA is filed under the name uncultured bacterium. RNAcentral describes it as "partial 16S ribosomal RNA". It matches the Rfam family "Bacterial small subunit ribosomal RNA", at positions 28 to 507 of the family's 1533-position model. The record is from RNAcentral.
GAUGAACGCUGGCGGCGUGCCUAAUACAUGCAAGUCGAGCGAACGGACGAGAAGCUUGCUUCUCUGAUGUUAGCGGCGGACGGGUGAGUAACACGUGGAUAACCUACCUAUAAGACUGGGAUAACUUCGGGAAACCGGAGCUAAUACCGGAUAAUAUUUUGAACCGCAUGGUUCAAAAGUGAAAGACGGUCUUGCUGUCACUUAUAGAUGGAUCCGCGCUGCAUUAGCUAGUUGGUAAGGUAACGGCUUACCAAGGCAACGAUGCAUAGCCGACCUGAGAGGGUGAUCGGCCACACUGGAACUGAGACACGGUCCAGACUCCUACGGGAGGCAGCAGUAGGGAAUCUUCCGCAAUGGGCGAAAGCCUGACGGAGCAACGCCGCGUGAGUGAUGAAGGUCUUCGGAUCUUAAAACUCUGUUAUUAGGGAAGAACAUAUGUGUAAGUAACUGUGCACAUCUUGACGGUCCCUAAUCAGAAAGCCACGGCUAACUACGUG